CCCACGUUCGGAUUGCAGGCUGAAAUUCGCCUGUAUGAAGCCGGAAUUGCUAGUAAUGGCAGGUCAGCAUACUGCCGUGAAUACGUUCCCGGGCCUUGUACACACCGCCCGUCACACCAUGAGAGUCGGGAACACCCGAAGUCCGUAGUCUAACCGCAAGGAGGGCGCGGCCGAAGGUGGGUCCGGUAAUUGGGGUGAAGUCGUAACAAGGUAGC
RNAcentral lists this ribosomal RNA (215 nucleotides) under uncultured bacterium. RNAcentral's name for it is "partial 16S ribosomal RNA". It matches the Rfam family "Bacterial small subunit ribosomal RNA", at positions 1286 to 1500 of the family's 1533-position model. The record is from RNAcentral.